ACAAACUUGGUCAUUUAGAGGAAGUAUAAGUCGUAACAAGGUUUCCGUAGGUGAACCUGCGGAAGGAUCAUUAAUGUGAUGGAUGUGCUAGUCUUGACUUCUCAAUCCUUCCUUCAAUGCGUUGUUGGAUGGGGGCCUGACGGCUCGAGAGGAAAGGAAAUAAAAGCCCGUUUGGGUGUGCACUCCGAUAAAAAUCCUAUUUCAUACCUUGUGCACCUCUGCCUGCUGGACAGAUAAGAAUAUUGAAUGACGUUCUGUAUUGUCCAUGCAGGAUAACUUUGUAUCACAAUUUUUAAAGAAUAUUAUGUUGGCUUGCUUAAAGCAAAAUGUAAUACAACUUUCAACAAUGGAUCUCUUGGCUCUCGCAUCGAUGAAGAACGCAGC
Molecule: unclassified non-coding RNA, 384 nt
Filed under: uncultured fungus
Lineage: Eukaryota; Fungi
Description: partial contains small subunit ribosomal RNA, internal transcribed spacer 1, and 5.8S ribosomal RNA
Rfam family: Eukaryotic small subunit ribosomal RNA (bases 1-73)
Source: RNAcentral